AUAUUCUGAAUGUUCAUCUCAGAGCGUGAUGGGGCUUUUUCUGUCUUGUGCAGGUUGCUGACUUUGGUCUGGCCAAGAUCCAGCACGAAGACGACACAGCCAUGUGUCUACGCUGGUGAUGGGGACUUUUGGGGCAGCUCCUUGUCAUGGGCGGCGCUGUUGUCGGCAGGGCCGUUUCUUCUUCGAAUUACCAUGCACGCGCGUCUUAUUUGUUGCUAAUCAACUAGUGAUUUGGGUUAUUUUGGGUUGCUGUUAGUUUUGCUUCUGCAAUUUAAUGUUGUCAAUGCUCUUUCCCGUUUGGUGGAUCAACUAAUUGCUUACAAAUCCAGCAGGCAUGAAUGCUUACUUUUACAGAUUUGUUUGACUGACUUCUUCAAAUCUAGCUCGUGUCUAUUUGUUGGAUGUGGAUCAAGUCUCCCUAUGUCGAUGAGUUCUAGAUUCCAGUUCACCAUGUUUCGCUUAUGAAUGAAUGCGCUAGAAGUAGAACAUAAUCUGUUGCAUUGGUGGUUACUUUAUACAUUUUAUGAUUGGUCAAUCAGCUAGUUAGCUACAGUUUACCUUGAUCAGGGAAUGUCGAUGGUCAAAUAAUUUACGUCCAUUCUCCAGAUCUUAACAUGUGGUUCUUGGAUAGGUCCCUUUUUGAACCCUUUUUUAUCUGAAUCCCAUAAAGAAGUAAACGAGCCUAGUUUUUUUAACUGGCAUGCUGUCUUAUUAAAUCAGGGGGAAAUUAUUGCCUGGAUAGGUGUUUUCUUUUGUGAAGUUAGUGGAUGUUGAUCAAGUCCCCUUUCCGCUGUAUGAAACGUUUCUCCUAUUGUACUUCUUAAAAAGCUUUCUGCUGAUGGCAGGAAGAAGAAGGUUGUUCAUAAGAAGAUGGCAGGAAGAAGCAGGUUGAUUCGAUUCGAUCCUCAAGAUGCUGGCCUUUCAUGUUUCUUCGCGAGCAUCAGGACAAAGAAGUUGGAAGAAGCAUAGUUCUAGCUCAUUGGAGCUAGUUCUGGGAGUAAUGAAGCACUUUAGGCUGAUCCUAUUUGUAUGUGUGUUAUAUGAUGUAGACUCUACACUUGUAGACUCAUGUGGUAGACUGUACACUUGUAGGGCUCAUGUGAUAAUCAUGUGGUAGACUGUACACUUGUAGAGCAGUUAUCCAAUUGUAAACUUGAUGCUGA
Molecule: long non-coding RNA, 1163 nt
Organism: Aegilops tauschii subsp. strangulata
Lineage: Eukaryota; Viridiplantae; Streptophyta; Magnoliopsida; Poales; Poaceae
Source: RefSeq, a predicted model, not a curated record